CAAAUUACAUACGCUUCUGCCUGCUGGCCCAGCUAAGGUCCUUGAUAUUUAUUUUUCAUACACAAGUAACAACGGCUCAAGUCUGAACUGAACUGGUUUGUCGGAAAAAGCUGGUAAUUUAUUCGCUUAAACCUUAAAAAACAUAUGUUGAUCACAAAAAAAAAAAACCUUAAAAACAUACAUAAAUAUUCUAGUUGAUAUUAAUUGAUAAUAUAUCAUUUAAUUCCAAAUUAUUAACAACAGUUUAACGAAAAAGUCAAACGUUUGGUUUUAUAUCACGAUCUUGAUUUGAUUUAGGUCAUGAUUCACGCCGUCACCGUCGUUGUCGCAUAGAUCGGAGACCAAAACGGAGAUGGAGAGGAAGGCAGGAGUGACGAGGAAGAUGAGUCCCACAGGAACCAUCCAAAGAUUAGAAUUUGUGGGAUGGUAUUUGUAAACCCAAUAUGUUAGAAAUAAUCCUGCGAAUAUAACCACGAUCACUGAGUAUAAUAAGAACACCAUUGACGACAUACUCUUCUUCUUCUCCUUCCAAGUCUUCUCAUCUGUCUUCUUCAUAUUCGUGUUUCAUUUUCUAGGUGAAGUGAAAGGAAAGAGGUGAGAUGACGAUAGCUGUAAUAUUUUAUAGAGUGUAUAAGUAUAUAUAUACAGUCGUGUUUCAGUUCGUGUAUGCUGGUUUAGAAAAUUAUAAUUUCAAAAUCGGACCCGAUGAUCAUAUGGUUUGCGUCAAUUUUUCUUUGGCUCUAUUUUUUAUUUCUUCUUUUCUUUGUUUUAGUAAAUGUUACCUAAAACUCGAUUGGAUAUUUACACCUAUUUUUGAGGCAG
RNAcentral lists this long non-coding RNA (822 nucleotides) under Brassica napus (rape). Its description in RNAcentral is "long non-coding RNA (BNAP_LNC012497)". Lineage: Eukaryota; Viridiplantae; Streptophyta; Magnoliopsida; Brassicales; Brassicaceae. The record is from RNAcentral.